This 836-nucleotide ribosomal RNA is filed under the name Salmonella enterica subsp. enterica serovar Muenchen. RNAcentral describes it as "partial 23S ribosomal RNA". It matches the Rfam family "Bacterial large subunit ribosomal RNA", at positions 711 to 1547 of the family's 2925-position model. The record is from RNAcentral. Lineage: Bacteria; Pseudomonadati; Pseudomonadota; Gammaproteobacteria; Enterobacterales; Enterobacteriaceae. RNAcentral also lists the same sequence under 12 other names.
AGACCCGAAACCCGGUGAUCUAGCCAUGGGCAGGUUGAAGGUUGGGUAACACUAACUGGAGGACCGAACCGACUAAUGUUGAAAAAUUAGCGGAUGACCUGUGGCUGGGGGUGAAAGGCCAAUCAAACCGGGAGAUAGCUGGUUCUCCCCGAAAGCUAUUUAGGUAGCGCCUCGUGAAUUCAUCUCCGGGGGUAGAGCACUGUUUCGGCUAGGGGGCCAUCCCGGCUUACCAACCCGAUGCAAACUGCGAAUACCGGAGAAUGUUAUCACGGGAGACACACGGCGGGUGCUAACGUCCGUCGUGAAGAGGGAAACAACCCAGACCGCCAGCUAAGGUCCCAAAGUCAUGGUUAAGUGGGAAACGAUGUGGGAAGGCCCAGACAGCCAGGAUGUUGGCUUAGAAGCAGCCAUCAUUUAAAGAAAGCGUAAUAGCUCACUGGUCGAGUCGGCCUGCGCGGAAGAUGUAACGGGGCUAAACCAUGCACCGAAGCUGCGGCAGCGACGCUGAUGCGUUGUUGGGUAGGGGAGCGUUCUGUAAGCCUGUGAAGGUGGCCUGUGAGGGUUGCUGGAGGUAUCAGAAGUGCGAAUGCUGACAUAAGUAACGAUAAAGCGGGUGAAAAGCCCGCUCGCCGGAAGACCAAGGGUUCCUGUCCAACGUUAAUCGGGGCAGGGUGAGUCGACCCCUAAGGCGAGGCCGAAAGGCGUAGUCGAUGGGAAACGGGUUAAUAUUCCCGUACUUGGUGUUACUGCGAAGGGGGGACGGAGAAGGCUAUGUUGGCCGGGCGACGGUUGUCCCGGUUUAAGCGUGUAGGUGUGUGUUCCAGGUAAAUCCGGUU